UUUUUUUUUAUUUUGUUUGUGUCCAUCUUCCUCCUUUUACCUAGAGAAAUGUAAUGUGAUUUAAGUCGGUUUUUGGUUAAAAUUGUGGUAAGUGAAACUUGUAGCAAUUCCAGUGCUAGACCUCAGGGAUCUGCUCAGCCCAUCAGCUGUGUGUUAGAAGUCAUGCCAACAUGAAGGCAUGUGUGAUAGAUGAGUCAGGCCCUGGUUUGGUUUUGCUCUACAUUGCUUUAAGAAUGAAUAUAUAUAUAUAUAUUUUAGAACAUGUGUGUAUAUUUCAUAUCAUAUGUGGAUCCUAAAAUGGUCUGUGUAGUGCUUUCUUUUAUUGCUAAAGUUAUUACUAAAAUAUUUGCAUAUAAGUAGCUUUUUCUAAAAGUCUAGUUGAUUUAGUCAGCCAUUCUGUAACCUAGAGUCCCAUGGCAUAUCUGCACAGAGAUUAAUUUUGGAAUGUCCUCCAAGGCAGGGAGUUGUGAAAAUGACUUCUUUAGGUCCUCUUUGGUUCUAUUUUCUGCGAUUCUGAGAAUGAGGCUGAUUUUAGUUUUCCGUGUGACUGCAUUUCUACUGUGGAUUCAGGGAGAAAACCACCCACUUUUUGCAGAUAGUAUUUUAUUACAUAUUGUGGGGAGAGAUGGUGUUGCUUUCUUUGAAGAGAAAAUGGCAUGUGACUUGUCCUACCCUUGGAUCUCUGACUCCAGUCCUUCUCCCAGCUGCAGGAGUUCCCUGCUGGUGGGCACUUACUGCCCUCCUGGUACACACUGGCACUCGGAGUAUCCUCCUGCAUCCUUCAGGACAGGGCUGGGACUGUGUGGAUCCAAGUGCAGCUGGUCUGUGUGGCACUGCAGCGCUCCCUGGCUGUGAGGGGAGUAAACCCAGUGCAAAGCUGGGGCUCAAACACCACGCUGAUGGCACAGUGCUUUAACAGAUCCAAGCUUUAAUGGACCCAAGGAAGUUCAGUGCUGUAGUGAGAAGUCCCAGCUGUCCACACGUGAUUAAAAGUCUAAAGCUUGAAUUGCUUUACUCAAAGACAUAUAUCAGAAGGUAGGAAGGCUGCUCUCUCCCAAGUAAGAGAGCAGAAAUCCUGUCCUCUAGCCAAGACUGCACCUUGUGAUCCAGCUUUUACAAGGAGCUGCUGGCUGUGGGGAGGGAAUGAUCACAAAGGCAGCCUCCUCCCCAGGGUGUGGGAGUCACUUCUGCCCCAGGAAUGUUUGUGCUUCUCAUCUGUUUCCCUGAGUGCAAGGGAGAGGCUGUGUGUGUGUGUUAUGUCAGACCUUAGAGGAAGCUGAAGCUUUUGCAUCUGCAUCUCACCCCUCUCUGAACAUUCUGCUAACCUGGGAUGGAAUCUCUGGCUUACUGUCCAGCUGAGCAUCCUCCUCGAGCACUUGCUGCUGCAUUUUGCUGUAACUCAUCAUGCUUGUUUUUAUCAGCAAGCAUGGCAAUAAAACAAUCACUUUUUUCUACAAAUCACAAUCCUGCAUGAAGGAGCAGGGUAAGCCCUUCUUUCAGAAAUACAGUUCCUGUUACAGGUUCACAUAGGUCCUCUUUUGGGGGUUGCGUUUUUAACAUGCUUCCAAAGCUGGAGAUCAUCUGAGUAUUUUGGGCUCUACCACACUCAUGUCAGGAAGUUGCUCUUUGUGUCUCUGUGUACCUGAGGCUGUAGCUUGGGGCAGACUUAACUUGCUAACUCAAUUGGCUAAAUAAACUCUUUCUUGAACCUUGCAUGGAACUAGGAAAGCUGGCAGAAUUAUUCAUAUUCAUUACUGUUUCCAUAUAAAUGUACUUCGGUUCUCUCAGAUACUGUCUUAAGUGACCAAACUCCCAGUGUUUUCCUAGCUGUUUUGUUCAGUCCAAUAACCAGCUGUAAAAUUCUUUUCUUGACAGCCUGAUUUUGCUCUUUGAAUUCAUCCUGAAAGUGGUUCACUGUGUAUUAUCUUAAUUUUUUUCUUCUUGCUGUUCACUGUCAGCUGAUGUCAGCAGAGCACAAUGGCAUGAUUAGCUUUCAUCCCAAUUUGCUUGUUGAAUUUAGUUUGGUUUUGAAAUACUACACAAUCGUUUAAACUUUGUGUACAGAGAAUUUUUGAAGUUUUCUUGCCUUAGCAACUACAGAAAUCAUCUGUCUAGCUCUUGUCAGUAAACUUGUUGGAAAAAAAUGUUAAAAAUUGAUGUUUACCUUAACAUUCUGUUUGGUCUUGGACUAUAAAAUGUAGUUUCAUGUCAAAUUGGAUAACCUUCUUCUCAAAGUAUUUCCUGAGAAUUGACAGCCACCAACAGGACUGCUAAUGUAGUUAAACAAAACUUACACAGAGGUUAAAGGUGCUUUAAAAGAGAAUAUGUGUUUCUGUUUAAAUCAUAUCAAGGUUUCAAGCCUUUCCAAAAUAUAUGUGAACUGACUCAGAGUUCUGAGCAAGAGCCUACUGGACAUGUUCAAAUACCCAUGUUUGAGAUGAGGAUUAAAUUGAUGGCUUCAGCUGCAAAUAAGCUUAGGCCAGAGUCUGAUUACAAUGUAAUUGCCAAUAUUGUGAAUUUCUUUGGUAUAUGAAAGUAACUGAUUAAUAUCCAAGAUGCAUUUUACAAACUAUAAUGAAUUUUAAGUGAACAGAAGAUAAUUUGAUAAAACAGAAUGGUGAAGAAAAUGCUGGAUGCAUUUAAAACUCUCUUCAUGACAAUAAUGUGUUUUAUUUUUGGUGUUGCUUUUAUUAAUGGGAAGUUGGUAUUUUUAAGUAUUUUUCUACAAAGAUGUGUAUGUGCAAAGGCAAUACUUUAACAUUUUUCAAGAACUUGUAUUUUUAAAUGCUGUAGACCAGAGACUGUCUACAUUUGGACUGAAGUUAGUAGCUUUAAAAAAUGCAAUGUAAGCUUUAAUUUUUAUAUUAUAAUAAUAACUUGCUGACAACUUGUUUACAUAUUUGUAGGAGGGAAGGCUUUGUUAUGCAUUGACUUAUCUUGAUGCUCUCUUUAAUAAAUGCUGCUUUGAGCAGGAUGCAAUGGAUGUUUUAUUACCUGAA
Molecule: long non-coding RNA, 2999 nt
Organism: Manacus vitellinus (golden-collared manakin)
Lineage: Eukaryota; Metazoa; Chordata; Aves; Passeriformes; Pipridae
Exons: 2
Source: RefSeq, a predicted model, not a curated record